GAGGAGAUGUGACGUCACAAACAUGGAGUAGUGAGGGAGACACUCCUAUUCGAGGUGCUCUCCAAUUUUACCGCUUUUUAACGCCAAUUAUUCCCCUACAACGAAGUGAUACAUAUCCCCAGCGGUGUAGAAUGUCGUGAUACAACACCUGUGGCCCGGAUAGAGCAGCAAGAUGAGUGGGAGGAACAUAAUCACGCGGGAACUGAGUGAUUCCAUACGUCAGUGUUUGGGCCGAAAAGUGAAGCUGACACUGAAGGUCCUCGUGAAGGUAGAGACCAAGGGUGACAAGACAGAUAAUCGUGUUUUGGCCUUUGCAUCAUGCAGGCUCUUCGUGCUUACUGCCAAGGUCCCCACAAGGGUGAGUGUUCAAUCACAAAUUUUUUAUUAUUGUUAGAAAUGAAGGGGAAGUGUAUGACG
This is a long non-coding RNA of Penaeus indicus, 417 nucleotides long. RefSeq lists it as uncharacterized. NCBI's taxonomy places the organism in Eukaryota, Metazoa, Arthropoda, Malacostraca, Decapoda, Penaeidae. The record is from RefSeq and is a predicted model, not a curated record. The transcript is spliced from 3 exons.